RNAcentral lists this transfer RNA (63 nucleotides) under Hyalopeplus sp. RNAcentral describes it as "tRNA-Asp". It matches the Rfam family "tRNA". From Rfam's summary of the family: Transfer RNA (tRNA) molecules are approximately 80 nucleotides in length. Their secondary structure includes four short double-helical elements and three loops (D, anti-codon, and T loops). Lineage: Eukaryota; Metazoa; Arthropoda; Insecta; Hemiptera; Miridae. The record is from RNAcentral.
AAGAAAUUAGUUUAAGUAAAACAUUAAUUUGUCAAGUUAAAAAUACUAGAAAAGUAUUUCUUA